Molecule: ribosomal RNA, 623 nt
Filed under: Sulfolobus sp. A20-N-G8
Lineage: Archaea; Thermoproteati; Thermoproteota; Thermoprotei; Sulfolobales; Sulfolobaceae
Description: bacterial SSU rRNA
Rfam family: Bacterial small subunit ribosomal RNA
Source: RNAcentral
GGAACAUUAGUUAGUUGGUAGGGUAAUGGCCUACCAAGACGAUGAUGUUUAGCCGGGCCGAGAGGCUGUACGGCCACACUGGGACUGAGAUACGGCCCAGACUCCUACGGGAGGCAGCAGUAAGGAAUUUUCCACAAUGAGCGAAAGCUUGAUGGAGCGACACAGCGUGCAGGAUGAAGUUCUUCGGAAUGUAAACUGCUGUUAUAAGGGAAGAAAAAAUAGAAUAGGAAAUGAUUUUAUCUUGACGGUACCUUAUUAGAAAGCGACGGCAAACUAUGUGCCAGCAGCCGCGGUAAUACAUAGGUCGCAAGCGUUAUCCGGAAUUAUUGGGCGUAAAGCGUCCGUAGGUUUUUUGCUAAGUCUGGAGUUAAAUGCUGAAGCUCAACUUCAGUCCGCUUUGGAUACUGGCAAAAUAGAAUUAUAAAGAGGUUAGCGGAAUUCCUAGUGAAGCGGUGGAAUGCGUAGAUAUUAGGAAGAACACCAAUAGGCGAAGGCAGCUAACUGGUUAUAUAUUGGCACUAAGGGACGAAAGAGUGGGGAGCAAACAGGCUUAGAUACCAUGGUAGUCCACGCCGGAAACGAUGACAAAGAGUUGGCGGAAGAAGUUAACAAACGAAGCGAAC